AGGUCUGUUUUAUCAGCUUUUCGAAAAUAAGUAAGUUUUUGAAUUAUUCCUUCCCAUAGGGAUGUAACUCAGUGGUAGAGUGUCACUUUGACGUGGUGGAAGUCAUCAGUUCGAUCCUGAUUAUCCCUA
RNAcentral lists this transfer RNA (129 nucleotides) under Porella grandiloba. RNAcentral's name for it is "tRNA-Val". The stretch from base 58 to 129 matches the Rfam family "tRNA". Rfam says of the family: Transfer RNA (tRNA) molecules are approximately 80 nucleotides in length. The record is from RNAcentral. Lineage: Eukaryota; Viridiplantae; Streptophyta; Jungermanniopsida; Porellales; Porellaceae.